Molecule: long non-coding RNA, 522 nt
Filed under: Pan troglodytes (chimpanzee)
Lineage: Eukaryota; Metazoa; Chordata; Mammalia; Primates; Hominidae
Description: long non-coding RNA NONPTRT011451
Source: RNAcentral
UCACCCUAAAGUGUUUUUGUGUCAGAUACCAAAUUUAUUAAUGGGAUUUUUUCAGGUCACAAAAUGUGACCCCACCCUCUCAUGAAUAUUCAACAGAGAACCAAGGGCUCUUCUGCGGGGUAGAAGGGCCUUAAAUCUGCCAGAAAGUCCCCCGACUAUCAGUAGAGUUCUGACUCUUAAAGAGAAAAGGUGCUCUUUCCGGAGGGGCUGGCAGAGAGCCCCAACGGCAGGAAAUAAAAAUAAAGGAAGUGCUCUCCAACCAAUGUACAGGGAGAAAGUGGAAAGAAUCAUUUCAAAACGCCUAAGUGACUUUCUUUUUCCCAAAGUAUUAAAAUUGAGUUUUAAUGUUUAUAAACAAAAACUGGGAUGUACUUUGAAUAUGCAAUGUGUUUUUAUUUUAGAAACUAAGUUCUUCAUGAGGCAUCCAUAAAACUCAUGCAUGCUCUUAGAAGGUGGACUAACUCCUUUGCAGCAGCAACAGCAAUCCCCCUUAUCUCUGAAGUCUGCAAAGCCCUGUCAACA